Long non-coding RNA from Hyla sarda, 480 nucleotides. RefSeq lists it as uncharacterized. The transcript is spliced from 3 exons. Lineage: Eukaryota; Metazoa; Chordata; Amphibia; Anura; Hylidae. The record is from RefSeq and is a predicted model, not a curated record.
ACAGCGUGUCACACAUGUGAUGUCAUAACCAUUGUCCACCAAAGAGCAGCACUGAGCAGAAAUAACACUGCUCCUGUUCAUUCUCCAUCAGUGAGGGGCCGGUGCUGGACACUGUGUAGGGACGCGGGAAUGCAAAGUCAUACACAUGACUGUGACUGAUGCACUAUCUCCAGGACAUGGAGUAGCAUUUCCGGACCUACAGCAAGACGUUGGAUGAAGGCAUAGCCCCAGAAAUAACACUGGUCCUGUUCAUCAGUGAGGGGCCGGUGCUGGACACUGUGUAGGGACACGGGAAUGCAAAGUCAUGCACAUGACUGUGACUGAUGCACUAUUUCCAGGACAUGGAGUAGCAUUUCGGGACCUACAGCAAGACGUUGGAUGAAGGCACAGGCCUAGGAAUCAUGCACAUACACAGAAACAUUUGCCCAAAUUCUAGAGGUAACCUCCUUUAGUAUGCCCAGAGGAAGGGCCAUACAGUAG